Molecule: ribosomal RNA, 372 nt
Filed under: uncultured organism
Description: bacterial SSU rRNA
Rfam family: Bacterial small subunit ribosomal RNA
Source: RNAcentral
CAGAGGGGGCAAGCGUUGUUCGGAAUUACUGGGCGUAAAGGGCGCGUAGGCGGCCUGUUAAGUCGAACGUGAAAUCCCCGGGCUCAACCCGGGAACUGCGUCCGAAACUGGCAGGCUUGAAUCCGGGAGAGGGAUGUGGAAUUCCAGGUGUAGCGGUGAAAUGCGUAGAUAUCUGGAGGAACAUCGGUGGCGAAGGCGACAUCCUGGACCGGUAUUGACGCUGAGGCGCGAAAGCCAGGGGAGCAAACGGGAUUAGAUACCCCGGUAGUCCUGGCCCUAAACGAUGAAUGCUUGGUGUGGCGGGUAUCGAUCCCUGCCGUGCCGAAGCUAACGCAUUAAGCAUUCCGCCUGGGGAGUACGGUCGCAAGGCUG